CAGUCGCCGCGGUAAUACGUAGGUCCCGAGCGUUGUCCGGAUUUAUUGGGCGUAAAGGGAGCGCAGGCGGUUUAGUAAGUCUGAAGUUAAAGGCAUUGGCUCAACCAAUGUAUGCUUUGGAAACUGUUAGACUUGAGUGCAGAAGGGGAGAGUGGAAUUCCAUGUGUAGCGGUGAAAUGCGUAGGUAUAUGGAGGAACACCGGUGGCGAAAGCGGCUCUCUGGUCUGUCACUGACGCUGAGGCUCGGAAGCGUGGGUAGCGAACAGGAUUAGAUACCCGAGUAGUCCCUGUCUCUUAUACA
Molecule: ribosomal RNA, 301 nt
Filed under: uncultured bacterium
Lineage: Bacteria
Description: partial 16S ribosomal RNA
Rfam family: Bacterial small subunit ribosomal RNA
Source: RNAcentral